This 540-nucleotide ribosomal RNA is filed under the name uncultured bacterium. RNAcentral's name for it is "bacterial SSU rRNA". It matches the Rfam family "Bacterial small subunit ribosomal RNA", at positions 29 to 526 of the family's 1533-position model. The record is from RNAcentral.
AACGAACGCUGGCAGCGUGGAUUAGGCAUGCAAGUCGAACGAGAAGCCGCAGCUUCAAGUUUUCGGACAAGAAAUUGCGGUGGACAGUGGCGAAAGGGUGAGUAACGCGUGGGCAAUCUACCCCUGGAUUGGGGACAACCUCGGGAAACUGGGGCUAAUACCGAAUAUGGUCUCUUGUCGCAUGGCAGGAAGAUUAAAGACGGGGAUUCUUCGGAACCUGUCGUCUGGGGAGGAGCCCGCGUACGAUCAGCUUGUUGGUGAGGUAACGGCUCACCAAGGCUGCGACCGUUAGCCGGCCUGAGAGGGUGAUCGGCCACACUGGGACUGAGACACUGCCCAGACUCCUACGGGAGGCUGCAGUCGAGGAUCAUUCGCAAUGCGCGAAAGCGUGACGAUGCGACGCUGCGUGUAGGAUGACGGCCUUCGGGUUGUAAACUACUGUCAUGAGGGAAGAACGACACGGACGAUAAUACCGUCCGUGUGUGACGGUACCUCAAGAGGAAGCCACGGCUAACUCUGUGCCAGCCGCCGCCGUAACAC